CAUCUCUUCUCUCUUUGGCCGGCUCUCUCCUUUCUUUCUUUCUUUCAUUUUCUCUCUUUUCUUUUCAUUUUGCUGAAACACACACACACUCACCCGCCAGCCUCCACUCCAAAAUACACUAUCUCACCAUCAUUUUUCCGGCAAGAUCACCGGAAAAAUACUUAGGAACUCCAAAGCAUCUUCAUUAUUUUAUUUGAGGUUCUAGCUAAUCUCCCCUUGGAGCUUGGAGAAUUAGGAUUUUGCGGUUGCGAGGUAUAAGUACCUUGGUACAUUAUGCCUCCUAAAAAGAAAGCACGUAAAGUAAGGCAUGUGGAUGAGGUUACAGCUCCAGAGCAUGGCCAUAGGCAACGCCAAGAGCGUGAGAGAUCUGUCACUCCUGAUGGUGGCGAGAUUGAUGAGGUGGCAGACAGGAUUUAUGCUAGGAUUGCUAGAGCAGUCCAAGGUGGUGAACGUAGG
Quercus lobata is the source of this 456-nucleotide long non-coding RNA. RefSeq lists it as uncharacterized. Lineage: Eukaryota; Viridiplantae; Streptophyta; Magnoliopsida; Fagales; Fagaceae. The record is from RefSeq and is a predicted model, not a curated record. The transcript has 3 exons.